AAUUAGCUGGGGGGGCGGGGCCUGACCGCCAUGCACACAAGUCGCAUGGAAGAACAGCUCCCAGCAUUUUCAAGCCUUUUGGCCCACAAAGGCGGUCUGAUCCUAUGCCAGGCACCAAGAAGCUACCACCACAUGCACUAAGAGGUACUGGUCCUAAAGAUUGUCCCAAAACCGAAGUCUUGGCCCCCUGAGGGGAGAAAUUUAAUCUUGGUGCCUAAGGCCUAAUCCAGCAGUGAGUGGGGUGGACGGCCGCCACCCUGCUAUCCUGCAUACUGGAAAAAAGCUAGACCCUCGACUCCGCUAGGCGAUGGCCCUGCCUCCCCCCCUUUGGACCGGUGGGGGUCAUCCCGGUCCACCCUGAAGCCCUACUUCCAGCUUACUAACAAUGCCAGCUACUUGCAUUGGAGGACCUGCUUACCGAACAAGAUGGCGACGGAGUCCAUUCCUCCCUCCACUGAGAUGGUGGUCCCUCUCGGGGCUCUUGGCGCCCCAUGCGGGCAGGGCAGGGCAACACUGUCUGUGUCACGCUUGGGUGCUAACAAUCGACACCGAGGGAGACUGCCGGAAGCACCGACCUCUCCCUCUCCACACGCCACCUCCUGGCUUUGCAGCAUCAGCUCCCGCAACAUGGAGAAAUCUCAAGUCACUCCACAACCUCAAGCGACACACAGCACCUGGCUCUGAGCAGUGACUGGGCUAACAAGGCUGAUUGAUGGCUGCCCGCCAACAGAUUCAUGUCUGAAAAUGGCGGUGGGAGAUGGGGAUCUCUACGUGGGGACUGGGGUGACUCUCCAUGCAGCCUGUACAGUGGAUACCCACGCUUGUUUAGCUGGCUGUGUGAUGCCGAGGGCUCAGGGAUCUUAAUCCGAUAGGACAUACAUAAUUGCAUAUCAGCUUCUCUCCUAUUGAUUUAAUUCUAAUGCCAUACUGUUUAACAUCUCAAGCACAACAAGUUUUGAUAUAUGCAUAUCUAGUCUAGCGUGUUACAUUAUAAAAUGCU
This is a non-coding RNA of Pelobates cultripes (western spadefoot toad), 1000 nucleotides long. Lineage: Eukaryota; Metazoa; Chordata; Amphibia; Anura; Pelobatidae. The record is from the annotation of a GenBank genome assembly.